Triticum urartu is the source of this 3472-nucleotide long non-coding RNA. RefSeq lists it as uncharacterized. Lineage: Eukaryota; Viridiplantae; Streptophyta; Magnoliopsida; Poales; Poaceae. The record is from RefSeq and is a predicted model, not a curated record.
CCCACAAGGCCACAACGCUCGCCCCCACGCACUCUCAAACCCGUCACCGUCCUGCUCUCACCACGGCUGCCCUGUCUCCCAGCCGUUCCCCAUUCUAGCUCUGUACUCGCCAACUCCCUCUCUCGACAUCCUCCCUACCUCCAGGCUCCAGCGCGAGGACUCGCAGCCCUACUCUUCCUCGCCCCUUCCCGUCGAAUCCGGUCGCCGAACUGCACGAGGAGGCGCUCGAGCUCGUCAUGCUCACGGGCGAGCCAGUCUUAGGCGCCGUCGGAGGCACGGGACUCACCGGCGGGGACGCCCUGCCCUGCCUGGCCUCACCCGCGGUGAGACACGCCGUCGGCGUCUCCCGCGCCCAGCUCCGAGUAUGAAGGCGUGGAGCAAGAUGGCCGUGGCAGCGGGUUGUGGUGGUCGUCCUCGGGGAGGCGGCGACAACUAUGGCGCUGAGUGUUGGAGGUUGGUGCGUCCACGGGGGAAGUUGAAGAGCGAGGGCGUGAGGGGCUGGCCAUCCUCGCGCAACCAGUGCAGUGCAAAGGGGGCUUCAAUCCCGUCUGAUGCAGUUAUUCUUGGGGUUCCCGUAUAAGAGAAUCUACAGUGCUCAGCUCAGCCUACCUUCAGUUCUGACGGCGUCGCCCAUGGAUCCUCAGGUCAGUUUAGGUCAAUUUGGGUACGUUUCCUGCUUUAGGGUCAUGCAAUGUCAAUCUAGGAGCAUGUGAAAAUAAAUUCAGUCAUUAUCUGGCGCGAGGCCGUGCAAAGGCAGGCAGGCAAGAAGGGACGCUGAUCUAUCAUCCAUGGAUUCGCGUUUUCUCAAGCUGGUCAUCUGCCCGGAAAUGCAAAGCCUUCUGAUAGUUGAAUCUCUUAAGUUGUGUGCUAUAGUGAACUGACACUUUAAUUAUUUGGAAAACUGGAUUGGCUCCAUCAAGACUCGAUCGGCUGAUUUAAAUCUUGAUAAUUUUUCUUCCCAGCGAUCUCAUCCUUUAGAAAAUUCGAUCAUGUAAUUGGCAGUGUAUUUGUGGGCAUAAUUUCAUGAAGUCGCUAUUUAGCAAAACAAAAAAAAAACAUGCUAGGAAAAAAUGGGAGCGCUCUCCAAGACUAAUCUAAUGCAUUAGUGUAACAUAUGCUCAAGAAUUAUCUCCAUUCCUGUUUCCGAGCUGUGGUUUGGUCUGGGCCAGGGUGAUCUUUCCGAGCUAGAUAUGAGGAUGAACUUAGUUGGUUAUAGUGAUCUGCUUCUAUCUGCCAGCUGCAGCCAUAGACACAGCUUCUGUUUUGAAUUUCCUGUAUAUUUCAUACUUGAAGAUAAUAAGACUGAUCAUGUAAGCGCAGCUGCCAUCUUCUGCUAAUGUUCCAAUCAUGAAAGUAGGCACAGCUAUAAUUGAGAGUUUAUCCAGAUCGAUGAACCUCGAGCAAGCGGCCGUGACCCACAUCACCUGACCUCGAGCAAGCGACCGUGACCCACAUCACCUGACCUUGACCCACAUCGAACAAGAGUGCAAAUCGACCAUGACGUCCAGCCUCGACCACAAGUAUUUCUUCACCCACCGCUGAUUGUGAUGAUUGGGUUGCCAUCAUGAUUCAUAGAGGAUAAGCACCAGCAACGAGGAACUGGGAAGGAGAGGUUGAUACUUGAGAUAGGUUCUACAAUAGCAAUGGUGGUGGCAGCGUCUUGCAAUUCACAUAAAUGGGGUGGAGAAUAGCAAGGAUUAAUCUUCAAAUCCAACUAGCCAACACUUCACAAUGUAUGGCUACGAUGGUGGCAGAAUGGAGGAGCUCAUUGUGUUCUGUAAGAUGGCUGUGUGGUAUGUGGAGUGAAGAUGCAUCUAGCAUCAACUUCUUAGUUAUUGAGGACACCUUUACUUGGUGGUGCUACCGGCGCCCAAAUAUCUCAUUUCUCUUGAUUAUAUAGUGAAAGUAAUUCACUCAUGUUCGCCCAAAUUCCCAAAUUUUUAUAUUUGAAAAGUUUGGUCUGAUCAAAUAUGUUAAAUAUUGACACAUACUCCCUCCAUCCGUAAUUACUUGUCAUUCAAACAGAUGUGCUAGAUACAUCCGUUUGGCCGAUAAGUAAUUCCGGAUGCAGGGAAUAUUUGACUAUGCCUAUUAUUUUUUAUUGCUCUUGGUGGGAAGGGAUAAGUGUUAUGAAUUGUUGCUAUUGUUGUGAGAAACAUAUAUUGUUGAGCUUACAGAUAAGCACAUAGAGGAUGCAAAAUAUAAUAUUACUUAUGUGUUGUUGUGCUAUUUCAUCUCCUAAAUUCGAUGCAAUGAAGUGAAUAAGGAGGUGGUGCUCAAGGGAACAAAGGGUAGAAGAAUAUACGAAUAUACAAUCUGACCUGUUAGGAGUGGCUUCACAAAAACUAAGGUCUAAAAAGUUUGGAUGAUGCACAUUAAUUGAGUUUUUUGUUAAUUCAUUUAAUUCCAAAGUAUAUCGCAAGACUUGCUUUGCUGAUGCCAAAGCCCAUUAGCAGCAAUGCAAUGCUUUUGAUUUUGAGCAAAGUUAUACAGCCAAGGAAACUGGAUUUCCUUUCCGUCGAUGUAAAUAUUUUACUGUCCCCUAAUCUUUCUCCUGACCCAAUAUAUUUGCAGAUAUCUAUGUAUUUCUGAUCUUUGUGGAGGCUGCUUAUCUCACAGUUUUUUCUGUCUAUCCCACCUAGUAGGAAAAUAGAUUGUAUAUAAUAUUAAUUCAGUCGAACAACAUGAGUAUCGUGCCUGCCUACUGUAGUUAUUUUUGACAAUAUGAUUUGUUCACACAUCAUUACAAGGUUCCUUAAAACUACCUUUGUAGAUAUUUCAAAUCAAGGUCUAGGAGGAUUCAGCCAAUCAUACUUUCAAACCAGCAGAGAAUGUGAAAGAAAAUAUUUGUAUUUAGGCUUACUAACUGUUAACAAACAAUGCGGUUCUCAUAUGAAUGUGUGUAAUUUUAUUCUAUUCAUCACUGUGUAAAUCACAAGAGAGCUGUGCAAUUAGGUUCUUGUCAUACUGGUGAGGAUAGUGCACUAUUCCCAUAUUGCUUUGCUCAAUAUUGAAGCACCGGGGCCUUCUUGCUCUGUGCAACAACUAACACUCUUUAUUGCCACUAUGGCCGUGAAUCUUUAACCAUACGGAUGUGCUCGAGCUGUUUUAUAGUAUCACAUAAUGACCAUUCUUCUAUUUGCAGCCUAUGGCUGCUCUGAUGGUUGGAGCCAGCAGCUUGGCCUGGUACCAUGCACAACAGUCCCAUCGAACCUAUCAUCGCCACCCGAUGUAGUGUGGCGAAGGCACCGUCAAUGAAGAGAAGAAAGAUUGUCGCCCAGGUUGUUGUGCAUGGGUUCUGUGAUUGCUACUAACAUUAGGAAAUAGAUGCAAAUGAAGCUAAAUUGCAGCUUACAAGAUUUUGAUAAAGAAAUACAUUUUAUAUUGAGCGAAGAUAUGUAAUAAAGCCAUCUAUGUACCCUAAGUAGUUACCGAUUGUAUUGAUUGUUCUGAAAAUUUCAAUUGAUCAACA